CGCGUCCGUAGCUCAGCUGGUCAGAGUACCGCCUUGACAUGGCGGGGGUCGGUGAUUCAAAUUCACUCGGACGCACCA
Molecule: transfer RNA, 78 nt
Filed under: Candidatus Photodesmus blepharonis
Lineage: Bacteria; Pseudomonadati; Pseudomonadota; Gammaproteobacteria; Vibrionales; Vibrionaceae
Description: Candidatus Photodesmus blepharus tRNA-Val
Source: RNAcentral